GCCAAAGGGGGUUAUUGGCCUUCAGUAACGGCGAGUGAGCGGCAAAGCUCAAAUUUGAAAUCUGGUACCUUUGGUGCCCGAGUUGUAAUUUGAAGAUAGUUUUCUGGUGCUGGCCCUUGUCUAUGUUCCUUGGAACAGGACGUCACAGAGGGUGAGAAUCCCGUCUGGCGGGGUGUCCAGUGCUUUGUAGAUUUCUAUCGACGAGUCGAGUUGUUUGGGAAUGCAGCUCUAAGUGGGUGGUAAAUUCCAUCUAAAGCUAAAUAUUGGCGAGAGACCGAUAGCGAACAAGUACAGUGAUGGAAAGAUGAAAAGAACUUUGAAAAGAGAGUGAAAAAGUACGUGAAAUUGUUGAAAGGGAAGGGUAUUAGAUCAGACUUGGUGUUUUGUGAUUAUCUUCCCUUCUUGGGUUGUGCACUCGCAUUUCACUGGGCCAGCAUCGGUUCGGGUGGUAAGAUAAUGACAUUGGAACGUGGCACUGCCUUCGGGUGGUGUGUUAUAGCCCUUGUUGAUGUUGCCUACCUGGACCGAGGACUGCGGCUUUUGCCUAGGAUGCUGGCGUAAUGAUCUAACACCGCCCGUCUUGAAACACGGACCA
Molecule: ribosomal RNA, 595 nt
Filed under: Williopsis saturnus
Lineage: Eukaryota; Fungi; Ascomycota; Saccharomycetes; Phaffomycetales; Wickerhamomycetaceae
Description: eukaryotic LSU rRNA
Rfam family: Eukaryotic large subunit ribosomal RNA
Source: RNAcentral